GUCGCACAACUCCGUGACACCAAGGUUAUCUUUUUCAGUACCGUCCAUACAGGGAAUUACAAUUCAAAAAAGGAAAUUAAUGAGCCAGAAUAAAUCAUUUUAAUAUUUCUCUAACUGAAAUAUCCUUUAAAUGCAUUAUAAGGUUAGAAAACUCUGUCAUGUUAAAGACAUGAUCAGAUUGAGACGCCACCUUCUCCAGAUGGAAACGUCCCUCAGAACGGCCGUGGCUCUCUGGCAACGAAUCUCACCGCCGUUCGCCCUUGCCGGUGUUGCCGAGCAGCAGACCUUCACAGACCAGCUCUCCUGCUCCCUGACGGACAGAUGGGGGGGGGGCGGGGGGGUCAGAAAUGCGAUUUGUUGUAGAUGCUUUCUGCGGCACAGCUGGCUGCUAAUUGGGAGUGGGCAUUGGCAGGCACAGCGCAGCCCAGAGCCACCCCCGGCCUUCUCCAUCCCCCUCUCUACCCCGCAGUCAGAACGCGGCGCCAGGAAUCCUCGCAUUCGGGGAUCACGGAGGAGGGCUCCAUAGCAGCUGUGCCGUAUCGAUUAUUUUGAGGAAUGUUUUAAAUACACAUAAAUGUUCCCUCGCGCAGUAUCGCGAACACACAAGCGCUUACAUGCUGUAUGAUAUUUUAUCUUUUGACGCUUUUUUCUUUUGUUCAAUUCAAUCAUUGUUUUUGCUAGUUUUUUAACAGUGAUACAUCAAAAGUGCUUUAUUAUUAUUAUUAAUACAUUAGACAGUACAUCUAAAAUAAUCAUCAAGGUCUAUUUAGAAUGCAAGCCAUUAUUAUUUCAUCAAUGCUAAAUUUUAAGAAUAGAACCACUUUAUAACCGUGAAAUAUUACCUCUUUUUUGUUUUUUUUUCCUCCGGCAGUAAGUCAUAUUUUAAGAGCUAAGAGGUUGUGUGAGAGAGCGCUGUUAUCUUGAGAGGAAAAACAGGGGCUUCGCACACCCAAUUAUUCCCCUGUAAGUGGACAAGGAGAUGUUGACACCUCCCUCGUGCUUUCGCACCUCCUCUUGGAGGGGCUCCAGGUGCGACUGGACAAGGGCCACGGUGGCGAGGAGCACCUGCGCUAAUUGGCUCGCGCGGCUCGGGGACGAGGGCCGAGCGGGGAGGCCCGCGCGCAC
Molecule: long non-coding RNA, 1125 nt
Organism: Anguilla anguilla (European eel)
Lineage: Eukaryota; Metazoa; Chordata; Actinopteri; Anguilliformes; Anguillidae
Exons: 3
Source: RefSeq, a predicted model, not a curated record